Molecule: ribosomal RNA, 115 nt
Organism: Nicotiana attenuata
Lineage: Eukaryota; Viridiplantae; Streptophyta; Magnoliopsida; Solanales; Solanaceae
Rfam family: 5.8S ribosomal RNA
About the family: 5.8S ribosomal RNA (5.8S rRNA) is a component of the large subunit of the eukaryotic ribosome.
Source: Rfam
UGUCUCGGCUCUCGCAUCGAUGAAGAACGUAGCGAAAUGCGAUACUUGGUGAUCCACUUUUGGAAAGUUCAUUAUUUAACUUAUUUUUUUUAGUGAUUAAUAUAAAUGAAUGAUA